ACCUAAUUUUUUUGGGGUGACUUUAUUGACCUUAGUUGGAACCAUCAUCAUAGGGUCAAACAGACGAAUCCAGGCACAGAGAAUUUCUUGACUCAUGUUCCAUGAUCGCCAAUACUGCCACAACAAAGCCAUGCGGCCCUAACUGGCCAGUGCAGUGCAGUGCAGUCUGAUUGUUGACUGGUGAGGGAGCUGCACACUGCAGCAUGAGGCAGGUUGACUUUGGCUCGUCAAAGAACCUACUGAACGCCCUUUCGCGCCCGCUCACUUCCGCAUCCACGCUCCUUCAAUUAUACUCUUGUCUGUUAGCAUAGAGAUUGAAUCUGUUUCUAAAUAAUGGAGAAAAAAACAGAAAGGCAGUCUUAUAUGCAAAUAAAAAAUAAGUCACACAGUUAUGUAGGAUGUACACCAGCCUUGGGCCGUAUGCUGCCUGGGAUAGGCUCCAGGUCCCUAACCAGAAUAAUGGAUGGAUGGAUGGAUGGAUGGGUGUUUGGUGUGUUUGUACGCCUAUGUGUUCUUCAUUGUUGUCCAAAUAAAACCACAAAAAAGCAAAAGCUCUAAUAUGUUUCCAUAAUACUAAUUUACUGCCAGUCACUGCACUCAGGAGCAGUGCAUCGCUAGGAUGAUCCAAGAAUGUUAACUAUAAAACACUGCUGACCAAGUGCAUGA
Long non-coding RNA from Paramormyrops kingsleyae, 666 nucleotides. RefSeq lists it as uncharacterized. The record is from RefSeq and is a predicted model, not a curated record. NCBI's taxonomy places the organism in Eukaryota, Metazoa, Chordata, Actinopteri, Osteoglossiformes, Mormyridae.